GAGGGUGAAAAGAACCUGAAACCGUUACGGGGGAAGCGAAUUGCGUCGAAUUGAUUUUAUGGGGGGUGCACUGUUCAGCGCGUUUUGCGUGUACUCAGGGCAUUUUUCCUUACCCGUCGUGGGUUUUUGGAUGGUCGAAUUUGGGCCGUCUAGGACUGAGGGAUCCUCUUUUUUUAAUAUAAGGGUGAGGACGACGGGGCGCGAACGCGAUACGACCCGUCUUGAAACACGGACCAAGGAGUUCAGCAUAUGUGCGAGUCAAAGGGUGGUGAAACCUGAGGGCGCAGUGAAAGCGAUUUAACACGGAUCGUGUAAGAACUAAAACAUAUAAUUUUCAGUUUUAAGGCGGCAUACAAUGGGUGAUUGUAGGACCGACCUCGAGCAGAUAUGCUGAGACCCGAAAGAUGGUGAACUAUGCCGGAGUAGGGCGAAGCCAGAGGAAACUCUGGUGGAGGCUCGUAGCGGUGCUGACGUGCAAAUCGCUCGUCUGACUUGGGUAUAGGGGCGAAAAACUAAUCGAACCAUCUAGUAGCUGGUU
RNAcentral lists this ribosomal RNA (538 nucleotides) under Acrosorium sp. LLG-2014. RNAcentral's name for it is "eukaryotic LSU rRNA". It matches the Rfam family "Eukaryotic large subunit ribosomal RNA", at positions 383 to 956 of the family's 3401-position model. Lineage: Eukaryota; Rhodophyta; Florideophyceae; Ceramiales; Delesseriaceae. The record is from RNAcentral.